This 337-nucleotide ribosomal RNA is filed under the name uncultured bacterium. RNAcentral describes it as "bacterial SSU rRNA". It matches the Rfam family "Bacterial small subunit ribosomal RNA", at positions 22 to 356 of the family's 1533-position model. The record is from RNAcentral.
GCUCAGAUUGAACGCUGGCGGCAGGCUUAACACAUGCAAGUCGAACGGUAACAUGAAGAAGCUUGCUUCUUUGAUGACGAGUGGCGGACGGGUGAGUAAUGCUUGGGAAUCUAGCUUAUGGAGGGGGAUAACUACGGGAAACUGUAGCUAAUACCGCGUAGUAUCGAGAGAUGAAAGUGGGGACCUUCGGGCCACAUGCCAUAGGAUGAGCCCAAGUGGGAUUAGGUAGUUGGUGAGGUAAAGGCUCACCAAGCCGACGAUCUCUAGCUGGUCUGAGAGGAUGACCAGCCACACUGGGACUGAGACACGGCCCAGACUCCUACGGGAGGCAGCAGUA